This 859-nucleotide unclassified non-coding RNA is filed under the name uncultured Bordetella sp. RNAcentral's name for it is "partial 16S-23S ribosomal RNA intergenic spacer". It matches the Rfam family "Bacterial small subunit ribosomal RNA", at positions 10 to 885 of the family's 1533-position model. Lineage: Bacteria; Pseudomonadati; Pseudomonadota; Betaproteobacteria; Burkholderiales; Alcaligenaceae. The record is from RNAcentral.
GGUUCGAUCAUGGCGCUCAGACGGAGCAUUUGGCAGGACCAUGCAAGUCGAGGCAGCAGCACGGACUUCGGUCUGGUGGCGAGUGGCGAACGGGUGAGUAAUGUAUCGGAACGUGCCCUGGUAGCGGGGAUAACUACGCGAAAGCGCUCGCUAAUACCGCCGCCGCUCGAAGCGGACCUUCGGGCCUCGCACUAAUAGAGCGGCCUGAUAUCGGAUUAUGGCGGAUUGGUGGGGUAACGGCUCCGCCGACGACGAUCCAUAGCUGGUUUGAAGGACGACCAAUACUGGGACUGGGCACAGCCGAACUCUGCAAGGGAGGGGCAGCAGUGGGGAAUUUUGGACAAUGGAAAACCCACAGUCAGCAUCGCGUGUGCGAUGACCUUCAGGUUGGCAAAGCGCUUUUGGCGAGAAAGAAACACUUCAGGAUAAUACCGUGGCAAUAUUACACCUGCCGAAAUAAGCGCCGGCUAACUACGUGCACCAGCUGUCCGCGGUAAUGCGUAAGGUGCAAGCGUUAAUCGGAAUUACUGGGCGACAAAGCGUGCGCAGGCGGUUCGGAAAAGAAGAUCUUGAAAUCCCGAGCAACUACAGGACUGCAUUUUUAACUGAAGGCUGAAGUGUCGGAGGAGGUGGAAUUCCGCUGUUAACGGUGAGAUAGAAGCCAGAUAUGCGGGAGAAGGUACACCGAUAGCUGAAGCUCUCUAGGAUAACGCGACGCUCAUGCUGCGAAAAGCGUGGGAGCAAACAGAUUAGAAUACCACUGGUAGUCCACGCCCUAAACGAUGUCAGCUGGCUGUUUGGGCCUUCAAGACAUGGCUAGCGCAACUAACGCGUGAGAUUGACCGCCUGGGAAAUGCAG